UAGAGUUUGAUCCUGGCUCAGAUUGAACGCUGGCGGAAUGCUUUACACAUGCAAGUCGAACGGCAGCACGGGAGCUUGCUCCUGGUGGCGAGUGGCGAACGGGUGAGUAACAUAUCGGAACGUAUCCAAUAAUGGGGGAUAACUAAUCGAAAGGUUGGCUAAUACCGCAUACGUCCUACGGGAGAAAGCAGGGGACCUUCGGGCCUUGCGUUAAUGGAGCGGCCGAUAUCUGAUUAGCUAGUUGGUGGGGUAAAGGCUCACCAAGGCGACGAUCAGUAGCUGGUCUGAGAGGACGACCAGCCACACUGGAACUGAGACACGGUCCAGACUCCUACGGGAGGCAGCAGUGGGGAAUUUUGGACAAUGGGCGCAAGCCUGAUCCAGCCAUUCCGCGUGAGUGAAGAAGGCCUUCGGGUUGUAAAGCUCUUUCGCAAGGGAAGAACACUUAGCUACUAACAUUAGCUGAGGUUGACGGUACCUUGAUAAGAAGCACCGGCUAACUACGUGCCAGCAGCCGCGGUAAUACGUAGGGUGCGAGCGUUAAUCGGAAUUACUGGGCGUAAAGCGUGCGCAGGCGGUUUUGUAAGUCAGAUGUGAAAUCCCCGAGCUCAACUUGGGAACUGCGUCCGAAACUACAAGACUAGAAUAUGUCAGAGGGGGGUAGAAUUCCACGUGUAGCAGUGAAAUGCGUAGAGAUGUGGAGGAAUACCAAUGGCGAAGGCAGCCCCCUGGGAUAAUAUUGACGCUCAUGCACGAAAGCGUGGGGAGCAAACAGGAUUAGAUACCCUGGUAGUCCACGCCCUAAACGAUGUCUACUAGUUGUUGGUGGAGUAAAAUCCAUGAGUAACGCAGCUAACGCGUGAAGUAGACCGCCUGGGGAGUACGGUCGCAAGAUUAAAACUCAAAGGAAUUGACGGA
Molecule: ribosomal RNA, 918 nt
Filed under: uncultured bacterium
Lineage: Bacteria
Description: bacterial SSU rRNA
Rfam family: Bacterial small subunit ribosomal RNA
Source: RNAcentral